RNAcentral lists this ribosomal RNA (492 nucleotides) under uncultured bacterium. Its description in RNAcentral is "partial 16S ribosomal RNA". It matches the Rfam family "Bacterial small subunit ribosomal RNA", at positions 29 to 507 of the family's 1533-position model. The record is from RNAcentral.
AGUGAACGCUGGCGGUAGGCCUAACACAUGCAAGUCGAACGGCAGCACAGUAAGAGCUUGCUCUUACGGGUGGCGAGUGGCGGACGGGUGAGGUAUACAUCGGAAUCUACUUUUUCGUGGGGGAUAACGUAGGGAAACUUACGCUAAUACCGCAUACGACCUACGGGUGAAAGCAGGGGAUCUUCGGACCUUGCGCGAUUGAAUGAGCCGAUGUCGGAUUAGCUAGUUGGCGGGGUAAAGGCCCACCAAGGCGACGAUCCGUAGCUGGUCUGAGAGGAUGAUCAGCCACACUGGAACUUAGACACGGUCCAGACUCCUACGGGAGGCAGCAGUGGGGAAUAUUGGACAAUGGGCGCAAGCCUGAUCCAGCCAUACCGCGUGUGUGAAGAAGGCCUUCGGGUUGUAAAGCCCUUUUGUUGGGAAAGAAAAGCAGCAGGUUAAUACCCCGCUGUUCUGACGGUACCCAAAGAAUAAGCACCGGCUAACUUCGUG